This 201-nucleotide long non-coding RNA is filed under the name Elaeis guineensis (African oil palm). Its description in RNAcentral is "long non-coding RNA (EGUI_LNC027999)". The record is from RNAcentral. Lineage: Eukaryota; Viridiplantae; Streptophyta; Magnoliopsida; Arecales; Arecaceae.
AUCUCCUGGAGAUGAAGAUUUUUAUGAUGCCGAGAGAGCACCAUGCUAUUUUUCUUUUUGCUGAAGGAGAAAAGUUUUAUCAUUCAACUUCUGACCCUCUUUAAAGAUAUUACUGAUGGAUCCUUUCCAUAUGUACAACAUCUAUCUAAUCUGUUGUAAUUGCUUAGUCAACUUCACCCUCGGAGAAUGAUUUUCUUGGCA